AACCUAGCCGCAAGACACAAUCAUAAUCAGUCGCAACAUAGAGCAAAAAUGAAUGGUUCAUUCGUUAUCACUAGCAAACACCAAUAGGAACAUUUUUUUUAAUCCUCUGUUUUCUCUUUAAUCCCAAAUCGACUAUUAACACUUGGUUCACACGGAGCAGACGAGGUUGAGGUUUCCAGCAAGUUUCCGGUCAAAGCUCCGACUAAAAGAGAUUUGUUUAAUCGAAAUUUAUCGCCUCAAAGUUUGUUUUAGGCUGGUUCUAGUAACAUGGCAUGCAUGCGGAUUUUUUGGUCAAAUCUUAAAACCUGAUUUAGCCAGGGAACAAAUGCACCAAAACUCGAAAAUUGUGAAAAAGAACAUUUGAGGAAACAAGCAGAGACAAGUAUGAAGGAAAAGUGAGAGACAAUAUCCAACAAUGCAUUUGUUGUGAAGAGAUACCAUGUGAUUUUCAUUUCUCAUUCUCAAAUCGCAUGUUUUGUACUUGAGAUUUUUAAGGAUUGGUAUGACGAAGGCAUUUCAUUCUGCUAUCUAAAUGUUGUGUCACCAUUUGCUACCCCUGUUGAACCUUAGUUUUAUUUUCUUUCAUACCCCUCUUUUGGAAUCAAAAUAGAAUUAGAAAAAAAAAAGGACAACGAAAAGAAAAGAAAGAAGGAAACAAAAUCACACAAACCAAAAAAAAAAAUUAAAAAUUAAAAAAAAAAAAGAGAGAAAACACAAGAAAUGAGCUGCCGGAACCACGUCUGACCUGAUUCUUGUCUCGACAGGAUACGUAGGCAACCCUAUUCUGGGGUUCGGUCCAACCAAAGAAAAUCCAAAAUUUCCCGUUUCGAAGAAACUGGGACAGAAGUUAUUGUUUUCUUUUGAGUCGAUUCCAAAAGUUGUAAGUCUCACCCCUAUUAUUUUUGUGUUGUCUUCGAGCCUCCACGCCAUCCUUUCUUUUCAACCCUAUCCAAAGCCACGUUACAACCAAAGAAAAGACCUUCAGAUCAAUCAUUGAGAAUGUCAAGGCUGAGUACGCUAUGAGUACAAAAUAUUUGCUAACGAGCGUCACCUGUCUGCGUAAGCAUAAGGGAGGUGAAAGAAGAGAAUGAAAAUGAGAGAGUCUUAUUGGUGAAAGACUUCAGAGGCACCAUAAGGCGAUAAAGGUCUGAGAGAAAUGAAAAUGAGAGUCUCUCACUGGUGAAAACCUUCACAGGCACUAUAAGUCGACGGUGAGUUGAGAGAAUGAAAAUGAGAGAUUCUUACCGGUGAAAACCUUCACAGGCACCAUAAGGCAAUGAAGAUUUGAGAGAAAUGAAAAUGAGAGUCUCUCACUGGUGAAAACCUUCAUAGGCACCAUAAGUCAACGGUGAGUUGAGAGAAUGAAAAUGAGAGAGUCUUACCGGUGAAAACCUUCAUAGGCACCAUAAGGCGACGGUGAGUUGAGGGAAUGAAAAUGAGAGAGUCUUAUUGGUAAAAACCAUCAUGGGAACCGUAAGGCUAUGUUAAGAUGAGAGACAAAUAAAAGAGAGAGGUUUAGUGAUGAAAACACUUCGGAGCGCCACUAGCCGAAUGAGAGUUUUGAGCCUGUUGAAUAGGUUGGGAUAUGAAGCCUUGAUUUCAAAACAAGUUGUGAGAGCACAACCGGAGUUAAAGAAUAGAUUGGUUGAACAGAUUAGGCCGCUCAAUCCAAAAUGCAUGUCAUGACCAUUGGAUCCAGCGACCACAUUCAGAUAAGUGUUUUCUUUCCUUUUCUCCUAAUAAGGGACAUUUCCACUUCUACAUCUUUUUACUUCUUUUGUUUUGUUUCGUUGAGUCAUCCAUGUAGAACGGGUGGAGAAAGGAUUUCAAAACUUGAUACCAGCUUUUCCAAUUGCGAAGCAAAACAUCUGGCUAGCACAUGAAGGUAGCAUGAUUCAAAGUGGGUAGAGUACCCAAUGAGUUAUCGUUCAUUGAUAGAUUAUGGAUUCAUGAAAAUAUAUGGGAUCAGUAGAGUUUGAAUUAAUAGGCACCAUGAAACAGAGGUAUUGGUAUUGGGUUUGAUUUAAAGUCACUGAGAGUCACUCCGGUAGCCAAAAUUUGGGUCAGUGGUCUAACGAGCCGACAACGAGCACAGACUAUUGGAAAUCACAGCUAAGUAGAACAAGUGCAUGAGCAAGCACCUUCAGAACCAAGGCCACAAACCCACCACCACAUUUUAAAACUCACAAUUUUUCUUUGUUUGAAAUAGGAAUGGAUAUUAUCCUCAAAUCAAAGGGUCAAAGCUUCAAAUGUACAAUGUCUUAUUUUUACCGAUGCAAAAGGCAAUAUCACAACAUAUGUUUGCAAGCAACAAAAAUUGAUCGACUUUUCAAUUAUGAAUAUUGUCACCCCUAGGAGAUGCACUUCCUAGUCCAGGGUGUAGAAGACGUAUUUCCUAACCCAAAGCUUUACUCCUAGGAAACGCACUUCCUAGUCGAGUCUUUCUGUUUAACCCCUAAGAGACGCACUUCUUAGUCAGGGUCUUUCAAGUUUUGCUUUUAGGAGACGCAUUUCCUAAUAUGAACCUUUACUCCUAGGAGACGCACUUCCUAGUCGAGUCUUUCUGUUUAACCCCUAAGAGACGCACUUCUUAGUCAGGGUCUUUCAGGUUUUGCUUUUAGGAAACACAUUUCCUAAUAUGAACCUUUACUCCUAGGAGACGCACUUCCUAGUCGAGUCUUUCAGUUUAACCCCUAAGCGGCACACUUCUUAGUCUGGGUCUUCCUGGUUUUGACGUUUAGGGGACGCACUUCCUAAUGCAAACCUUUACUCCUAGGAGACGCACUUCCUAGUCGAGUCUUUCAGUUUAACCCCUAAGAAACGCACUUCUUAGUCUGGGUCUUCCUGGUUUUUGACGUUUAGGAGACGCACUUCCUAAUGCAAACUUCUACUCCUAGGAGACGCACUUCCUAGUCGAGUCUUUCAUUUUAACCCCUAAGAGACGCACUUCUUAGUCUGGGUCUUCCUGGUUUUUCGUUUAGGAGGCGCACUUCCUAAUGCAAACCUUUACUCCUAGGAGACGCACUUCCUAGUUGAGUCUUUCAGUUUAACCCCUAAGAGACGCACUUCUUAGUCUGGUUCUUCCUGGUUUUGACGUUUAGGAGACGCACUUCCUAAUGCAAACCUUUACUCCUAGGAGACGCACUUCCUAGUCGAGUCUUUCAGUCUAACCCCUAAGAGACGCACUUCUUAGUUUGGGUCUUCCUGGUUUUUGAUGUUUAGGAGACACACUUCCUAAUGCAAACCUUUACUCCUAGGAGACGCACUUCCUAGUCGAGUCAUUCAGUUUAACCCCUAAGAGACGCACUUCCUAAUGCAAACCUUUACUCCUAUGAGACACACUUCCUAGUCGAGUCUUUCUGUCUAACCCCUAAGAGACGCACUUCUUAGUCUGGGUCUUCCUGGUUUUUGACUUUAGGAGACACACUUCCUAAUGCAAAACUUCUACUCUUAGGAGAUGCACUUCCUAGUCGAUUCUUUCAGUUUAACCCCUAAGAGACGCACUUCAUAGUCUGGGUCUUCCUGGUUUUUCACUUUAGGAGACACACUUCCUAAUGCAAAUCUCUACUCCUAGGAGAUGCACUUCCUAGUCGAGUCUUUCAGUUUAACCCCUAAGAGACGCACUUCUUAGUCAGGGUCUUUUAGUUUUUACAUUUAGGAGACACACUUCCUAGUUUGAAUUUUUAGAUUCACCCCUGGGAGACGCACUUCCUAGUUAGUACAUUUAAUUUUACUUUCAUAAUUGAAUUAUUUUACAAUUUUGCUAACACUCACCAAAAAUUUCCUGGUGCAACCUGGGACAGAAAAUUUUUGUUCGUGUUAUUUGUUUUGAUAAUGUGCAGGACCCGCCUGAAGAAUGGGAAGCAAGUCAGGACCCGCCUGAAGAAUGGGAAGAAAGUCAGGACCCGCCUAAAGAAUGGGAAGCAAGUCAGGACCCGCCUGAAGAAUGGGAUGAUCGGGAAUCCGCCUAGAGAAUAGGGCCACCUUUCGAUUUCAAGUUCAGGAACCCGCCUGGAUAAUAGGGAUAUCUUUCAAUUUCAAGUUCAGGAGCCCGCCUGAAGAAUAGGGUGUACUUUCAGUUAGAAGUAGCAGGAGCCCGCCUGAAUAAUAGGGUCAACAUUCAACUGCUUUUCAAUUUCAAGAUCAGGGCCCCGCCUGAAGCAUGGAGUUUACUUUUAAGUUCAAUUCGAGAUUGAAGUGUUUAUCUCACACUUGGGAAAACAUGAAGAUUUGGGUCAAGAUUCAAGAGAAGCCUCAUAGCUAGGAUCCUGUGCUUGUAUUUUCUUUUUCACUUUUGUCUUUCAUUUGAUGUAAUAAUAGGACCGUGUACCGGAGCCUCGACAGGACCUCGCUCGACUAUUCACCUCAAUAUGUUUCGUCUCCCUUCUUACUUUUGAACUACACGUGACCUGAUUCCCUUAUAACCCGGGAUAUGUAGGAUGCCCAAAACCAGGGCUCGGUUGCAUCAUCUUCCUUCUUUCCCUUCCUUUUAGAACAACGGUAGGGCCAAACUAGUUUCUUUGUCUACUUGUUUAUUUGAAAACUCUUCGUGUUCCCAAUCAAACAGGGGCAGCUGUAGACACGUAAUUUUUGACCCUCCCGGGAUGUUUUCAUUGUCUUAUUGAUUAAUUUUUCUUUUUA
Long non-coding RNA from Lycium barbarum (goji berry), 4641 nucleotides. RefSeq lists it as uncharacterized. The record is from RefSeq and is a predicted model, not a curated record. NCBI's taxonomy places the organism in Eukaryota, Viridiplantae, Streptophyta, Magnoliopsida, Solanales, Solanaceae. The transcript has 2 exons.